UGAGGAGGAAAAAAAUAACUAAAUAUCUGUCUUAAAUACUCUGCAUAUAUCAUCAAAUGUCAAAGUUGGAAAAUACAGCCGUUAAGCUCUCGUUACACUUAAU
This is a long non-coding RNA of Etheostoma spectabile (orangethroat darter), 103 nucleotides long. RefSeq lists it as uncharacterized. NCBI's taxonomy places the organism in Eukaryota, Metazoa, Chordata, Actinopteri, Perciformes, Percidae. The transcript is spliced from 3 exons. The record is from RefSeq and is a predicted model, not a curated record.